Long non-coding RNA from Pezoporus flaviventris, 1097 nucleotides. RefSeq lists it as uncharacterized. The transcript is spliced from 3 exons. The record is from RefSeq and is a predicted model, not a curated record. Lineage: Eukaryota; Metazoa; Chordata; Aves; Psittaciformes; Psittacidae.
GGAAACACCUUCUUGGAAGCUGCCUGCCUCUUUGUUCUUUCCAUCAGUCUAAAAUAAAUAUCACUGAAAAUGUCUCAUUCCUCUUUGUGUAUACAAAGAUCAUGGGAGCACUUACAAGUCACCCUCUUUCAGAUACCACGUACAAAACCAGAGGAAAUAACAAUGUUUGGGUCUUUCAAGAAAACCAAAAAUGUCCAUAUUUCUUUGGCAGACAUUCUUAUUUUGUUUUUCCAGGCUGAAAAGCAUGGAAGUACCCUUUCCACCUCUUUCCACUUCCCUGUCACUUACAAAUUCAAGGCUGAUGAUGUUUGAACUCACAUAAAAUUUGGAAGUGAGUGGAAAAACACACCCAGCUGACCAAAAGGGAAAUUGCAUCCUCUACUUGCUACUGUCCUCCUCCCUAUGUUUACCUUCUUUCUGCAGCCUCAGUGCAGAAACUGAAGAAACUGUAGCCACAGCAUCCCACCAGAACACAAGUAGUCCUUGUGCAGAACCUGUCUGCAGCCCAUGAAGAGGAAGAUGAAGUCAGCGGCAACCUGGAUAUAAGUCAAGCACAGGGCAGGCAUGCCAAACAGAGUGGAAGUAAAUCAUGUUAAUGGAGCCUGCACUGGCAUUCCUGUUUGGGUGUCUUGGUGACCAUUACAUCUUACAAGUGGACUUAAACCAGCCUCAACUGAGAUAUCCUUCCAUUAUCUCUGCCUUCAUUGGGGUCUCUUCGUCUGUUGCUAAAAAGAUUUCAAAAGGGGCAAAAAUAGGAAAUGUACUAAAAUCCUCAUGUUUAACAUUGCCUAAAUAUAUAAGAAACCACUCCCUGGCAGCUGUGGCACAACUGUCGGCCAAAUGAGUAAAAAAUGUGCAUCACAAUUUUUCUCUCUUUAGUCUGAGCAACCAAAUCUAUUCUGGAUUCUUCCAUGAUUUGUCACAAAUGGUAUGGCUGGUAUGCUCUGCAGUGAUAUGGUUGGUAUGGAAGGAAAGAGAAUGCUGUGCCUGUUUCUUUGUGGGAAAAAAAAAAAAAAAAAAGCCUUAAAAAAGCUCUGAGCACAGACUUGGACAUAGUUCAGUUUUCAUCAUGUUAACGAGGAACAGUAAUGUUAAAA